CAUUCGCAAAAAAAAAAAAAAAAAAAAAAAAAAAAAAA
RNAcentral lists this non-coding RNA (38 nucleotides) under Prorocentrum micans. The record is from RNAcentral. Lineage: Eukaryota; Dinophyceae; Prorocentrales; Prorocentraceae.